UACCAGCACCCCGAGUGGUCGGGACGAUUAUUGGGCCUAAAGCCUCCGUAGCCGGUUCUACAAGUCUUCCGUUAAAUCCACCUGCUUAACAGAUGGGCUGCGGAGGAUACUAUAGAGCUAGGAGGCGGGAGAGGCAAGCGGUACUCAGUGGGUAGGGGUAAAAUCCGUUGAUCCAUUGAAGACCACCAGUGGCGAAGGCGGCUUGCCAGAAUGCGCUCGACGGUGAGGGAUGAAAGCUGGGGGAGCAAACCGG
This 253-nucleotide ribosomal RNA is filed under the name uncultured bacterium. RNAcentral's name for it is "partial 16S ribosomal RNA". It matches the Rfam family "Archaeal small subunit ribosomal RNA", at positions 474 to 727 of the family's 1478-position model. The record is from RNAcentral.